Long non-coding RNA from Cygnus olor (mute swan), 1284 nucleotides. RefSeq lists it as uncharacterized. NCBI's taxonomy places the organism in Eukaryota, Metazoa, Chordata, Aves, Anseriformes, Anatidae. The record is from RefSeq and is a predicted model, not a curated record. The transcript has 3 exons.
AAAAGAGGAAAGAAAAUAAAAAAAGGUCACGAGAAUUCACUGAAAGAAAGCAAAACGACUGUCAUACCUGCAGGCUCAGCUCCGGCGUGUGCCAGCCGUCCUGAAAGGGCAGAAGUCCGAACUUCACCCACAAAACACCCACCUCGAGCAGCACCCGUCCAGAAUAUCUGAAACAACAUGACUGAGUUCAUCUGGCGUGGAAGAAGAUGCCGGAAAGAAGUCUGGUGAGAAGUUGAAUGACAAUACUGGAGAAACUUUUAGGUUUCUGCAUAGGCCUGUUCGAGUUGCUUUUUUCUAGGAGAAGGCACAAGUAUUUUCCAGAAGGCUUUGCAAGUGGCUCUCUGAACUUGAUCAGAACUUGCUGAGCACGAGGUUUGCCUCACUGUGGGCAGCAAGUUUUGCCUUCUGUCUAUUUUUAAGGUAAGGUUUGUGGUGGGGAAGCUAACAAGGGUUUUUGCAAAACAGACUUGACAGUGACCUCCUGUUCAGAGCUGUGCUGUCUGCUCCCCCUGACUGUGUUUGAAUAUCAUGCCUUAACUGCUUAAUGCGAAAAAGGAUUGCUAGCAAAGCACUUUGGGACUUGAUUGCAAAAUUUAUCCAGCCUUCUUGAAAAACAACCAGGAAAAACGUCGUCUGACUCUUUCAGCUCUUUGUUCCUUUUCUUUCCAGGCAGCUGUUGUCUGCUGCUUACUUUCUCAUUCUUGUUGACUAUGUCAUGAGGGUUUUCUUCAUGACUACUUCAAGAUCCCUGCUAUCCUGUGCCCUCCUUUGGUGCAUCUUCUGCCCAGCUUCGUACAUCCCUUCUGCUCUAACCACUUCUCUUUGGCUGAGGUCUUGCGAUGGCCUCAGCAGCUCCUGUCCCUCUGGCAUGCCUGUGACCUGGGAAUAACUUCCUGGUUCUCCCAUGCCUGCUUCCCCAGCACUGACACCUCACAGAAGCAGCUGGGCCCCCUUGGUGGAGGCAGGAGGAAUACAGAAAGGAGCUGGAAAGCAAAAAGUCAAGCUGUCACCAGCAGGUCUAGCUGCUCUCCACCCCCUCUAGGUGAAAGCAGUAAGGUUUACUUACCUUCACUUUUGUUUCGCACCAGUUUCACUUUCUGCCUGUCCUGCUCCAUCCGCAUGCAUUAUUUCAGCACUGGUGAUUCAGCCUCAGUAUUGAAGUGGUUAUACUUUCUCGUACCUUUUCUUUUUAGAAUUGACAGAGUUUAUUCAAGUUUAUGUUGAGAAAAAUUCCUCUACAAGAAGGAUUUUUUGAGCACAAACUUGUAUUCAUUCUCUGGGACA